RNAcentral lists this ribosomal RNA (377 nucleotides) under uncultured bacterium. RNAcentral's name for it is "bacterial SSU rRNA". It matches the Rfam family "Bacterial small subunit ribosomal RNA", at positions 521 to 896 of the family's 1533-position model. The record is from RNAcentral.
UAAUACAGAGGGUGCAAGCGUUGUUCGGAAUUAUUGGGCGUAAAGCGCGUGUAGGCGGCCAAGCAUGUCGGGUGUGAAAGCCCUGGGCUUAACCCAGGAAGUGCGCCCGAAACUACGUGGCUUGAGUGUCGGAGAGGAUGGCGGAACUCCCGGUGUAGAGGUGAAAUUCGUAGAUAUCGGGAAGAACACCAGUGGCGAAGGCGGCCAUCUGGACGACAACUGACGCUGAGACGCGAAAGCGUGGGGAGCAAACAGGAUUAGAUACCCUGGUAGUCCACGCCGUAAACGAUGGGCACUAGAUGUCGUGGGUGUUGACCCCCGCGGUGUCGAAGCUAACGCAUUAAGUGCCCCGCCUGGGAAGUACGGCCGCAAGGCUA